This 420-nucleotide ribosomal RNA is filed under the name bacterium. Its description in RNAcentral is "partial 16S ribosomal RNA". It matches the Rfam family "Bacterial small subunit ribosomal RNA", at positions 355 to 776 of the family's 1533-position model. The record is from RNAcentral.
UGGGGGAUAUUGCACAAUGGGCGAAAGCCUGAUGCAGCGACGCCGCGUGGGGGAUGAAGGCUUUCGGGUUGUAAACCUCUUUCGCUAUCGAACAAGGCCCGCUUAGGGUGGGUUGAGGGUAGGUGGAGAAGAAGCGCCGGCUAACUACGUGCCAGCAGCCGCGGUAAUACGUAGGGCGCGAGCGUUGUCCGGAAUUAUUGGGCGUAAAGGGCUUGUAGGCGGCUUGUUGCGCCUGCUGUGAGAACGCGGGGCUUAACUUCGCGCGUGCAGUGGGUACGGGCAGGCUUGAGUGUGGUAGGGGUGACUGGAAUUCCAGGUGUAGCGGUGGAAUGCGCAGAUAUCUGGAGGAACAACGAUGGCGAAGGCAGGUCACUGGGCCAUUACUGACGAUGAGGAGCGAAAGCAUGGGUAGCGAACAGG